RNAcentral lists this ribosomal RNA (460 nucleotides) under uncultured bacterium. Its description in RNAcentral is "partial 16S ribosomal RNA". It matches the Rfam family "Bacterial small subunit ribosomal RNA", at positions 338 to 795 of the family's 1533-position model. The record is from RNAcentral.
CCUACGGGAGGCAGCAGUGAGGAAUAUUGGUCAAUGGACGAGAUUCUGAACCAGCCAAGUAGCGUGAAGGAUGACUGCCCUAUGGGUUGUAAACUUCUUUUAUAUGGGAAUAAAAUGUUCCACGUGUGGGAUUUUGUAUGUACCAUAUGAAUAAGGAUCGGCUAACUCCGUGCCAGCAGCCGCGGUAAUACGGAGGAUCCGAGCGUUAUCCGGAUUUAUUGGGUUUAAAGGGUGCGUAGGUGGUUCGUUAAGUCAGUCGUGAAAGUUUGCGGCUCAACCGUAAAAUUGCAGUUGAAACUGGCAGUCUUGAGUACAGGAGAGGUAGGCGGAAUUCGUGGUGUAGCGGUGAAAUGCUUAGAUAUCACGAAGAACUCCGAUUGCGAAGGCAGCUCACUGGACUGAAACUGACGCUGAGGCUCGAAAGUGUGGGUAUCGAACAGGAUUAGAUACCCGGGUAGUC